RNAcentral lists this ribosomal RNA (506 nucleotides) under uncultured bacterium. RNAcentral describes it as "partial 16S ribosomal RNA". It matches the Rfam family "Bacterial small subunit ribosomal RNA", at positions 28 to 507 of the family's 1533-position model. The record is from RNAcentral.
GACGAACGCUGGCGGCGUGCUUAACACAUGCAAGUCGAACGGUGAAGGGACUGGUUUUGCUGGUCCUGGAUGAGUGGCGAACGGGUGAGUAACACGUGAGUAACCUGCCCCCUUCUUCUGGAUAACCGCAUGAAAGUGUGGCUAAUACGGGAUAUUCUGGGUCUGUCGCAUGGUGGGCCUGGGAAAGAUUGCGCCUUUUUUGGUGUUUUUGGUGGGGGAUGGGCUCGCGGCCUAUCAGCUUGUUGGUGGGGUGAUGGCCUACCAAGGCGGUGACGGGUAGCCGGCCUGAGAGGGUGGACGGUCACACUGGGACUGAGACACGGCCCAGACUCCUACGGGAGGCAGCAGUGGGGAAUAUUGCACAAUGGGCGCAAGCCUGAUGCAGCGACGCCGCGUGAGGGAUGGAGGCCUUCGGGUUGUGAACCUCUUUCGCCAGUGAAGCAGGCCCGCCUCUUUUUGUGGGUGGGUUGACGGUAGCUGGAGAAGAAGCGCCGGCUAACUACGUG